AGUACCUGAUGCGUAGUUAAUGCUCAACAAGGGUGAGCUACUGUCGAGAUACAUAACAUGUAAAUGUUGAAUCUGCAUCUCACUUGAAAUGGUUGGGUUUGGAGAAACGGAUAGUCAAGCUUAUUGGAAUUAUUGUUAAAAGUGUUCUUUCUUGGAACCAUCUGCCAAGCUGUGAGGAAGCUCCAGAGCCAUAUGACAAGACCUGAUGGAGGAUAACUGAGGACUUUGGCCAACAACCCCAGCUGAGCUCCAGUUGGAAUGUGAAUGAGGCCAUUUUGAGUGUUCCAGCCUAUUGGAGCCCUAGCCAACACUCUACAAACUAGAACUGCCUGAUUGACCCGCAGAAUCAUAAGAAAUAAAGUAAUUUGAAGGCCUUCCCUGACUUAAAGUGGAUGCUGCUUUGGAAAGCACUGGAAAAAUGGAUCCUGUCUUUCUUAGCCAAGGACUGGUCUCUUUUCUCCAAUGUGUCCCUAACAGAGUGGUGAGGCUGGCUCUUCCCACCAGUACAGACAGAAUUUUCAAUUCACAAAUCAUCUGAAAAACAGGAAAUUUUGGAGAAACAUGCUUAUGAUAACAAACAAGGGAUCUAUCGUGUGGUAUAGAAGUUUACACAAAGAGGCAUCUGAUUUUAAGUUUUUGUUUUUUUUUUUUUUUUUUUUUUUACCGUUCUGGGCUUCUGGCUGCAUUCUAGGAAGAUCAUUCCUUAAAAGAAAUAGCCAUAUGGCUUAUAAGGAUUGUGUGUCCAGUGUUCAGAAGAGUGCCUGGCACAUCAAAAGUGCUGAGUUAAUGUUUAUUGGGUAAAUGAAUACAGUUUUGGGAAUCAUGAACAUUGAGAACCUAGGCCCAGACAAUUCUAAGGGACUAUAUCUUAAGACUAUGUGUCUUCUGCAGUUCUUUGCAUAGAGUCAACGUUGAAGGACAAGCAACUUCAAAUUUCCAAGCAACAAAAUUAUGUUCGGGUGGUUUUCUGAAAGCGAGAUCUUAAGAACCACCUGUAUCAGAAUCCCAUGAAGAGCUUGUUUAGUGUGCAAAUUUACAGAUUGUCCCCCCUCAGAAAUGCUCAUUUAGGAGUUCCUGUCCUUUGCGGGGACAUGGAUGAAGCUGGAAACCAUCAUUCUCAGCAAACUAACACAGGAACAGAAAACCAAACACUGCAUGUUCUCACUCAAAAGUGGGAGUUGAACAAUGAGAACACAUGGACACAGGGAGGGGAACGUCACACACCAGGGCCUGUCGGGGGUGGGAGGUAAGGGGAGGGAGAGGAUUAGGACAAAUACCUAAUGCAUGUGGGGCUUAAAACCUAGAUGAUGGGUUGAUAGGUGCAGCAAACCACCAUGGACAUGUAUACCUAUGUAACAAACUUGCAUGUUCAGUACAUGUAUCCCAGAACUUAAAGUAAAAUAUAAAACAAUAAUAAAAA
This 1420-nucleotide long non-coding RNA is filed under the name Homo sapiens (human). Its description in RNAcentral is "DARS1 antisense RNA 1". Lineage: Eukaryota; Metazoa; Chordata; Mammalia; Primates; Hominidae. The record is from RNAcentral.